ACGAACGCUGGCGGUAUGCCUAACACAUGCAAGUCGAACGGAGAUAUUAGGAGAGCUUGCUUUCCUGAUAUCUUAGUGGCGGACGGGUGAGUAACACGUGGACAACCUGCCCUUAUCACCGGGACAACGUUUGGAAACGAACGCUAAUACCGGAUAAGCCCUGUAAGCGACAUCGCUAAGAGGGGAAAGGGGAAACCCGGAUUUGGAUGGGUCCGCGGCCCAUUAGCUAGUUGGUGAGGUAACGGCCCACCAAGGCGACGAUGGGUAGCCGGCCUGAGAGGGCGAUCGGCCACACUGGGACUGAGACACGGCCCAGACUCCUACGGGAGGCAGCAGUGGGGAAUAUUCCGCAAUGGGGGAAACCCUGACGGAGCAAUACCGCGUGAGUGAAGAAGGCCCUUGGGUCGUAAAGCUCUGUUUUCGAGGACGAAAAAAAUGACGGUACUCGAGUAGGAAGCCCCGGCUAACCACGU
Molecule: ribosomal RNA, 473 nt
Filed under: uncultured bacterium
Lineage: Bacteria
Description: bacterial SSU rRNA
Rfam family: Bacterial small subunit ribosomal RNA
Source: RNAcentral